UUUUUUAUAUUAUUCUGGAAAAGAGCUCCUUUGUAAAUAACGAACUUGGCCUUCAAGUCCGGAAAGGCGAGAUAAAGAGUGACGACAGAGAGCGACGAGACCCAGAGGGAGCUAUUCGUCCUCGUCCUCGUCCUCGUCCUCGUCCUACGAGGAGGAGAGAAGACCCAGUAGCAGAUUCCGGUCAUCGUCGUUCUCUUAAAUUAGGGCAAGAACCUGGUCCGAAGCUUUGUUUUUCCUCACUUCUUAAACCUCUCGUCCAAUUUCUUUUCUUUUUAUCAAGUCUCUCCCAGUGAUUUGCAUCUACUUGGUGAUCACGGUCUUCUUCUGGAUCUAUUGUGCUGUUAUCUUGGUAAAACAUUCCAGAUACUGGUUUUAUUGAGUAGGGUUUUUUUUUUUUUUUGGGCACAAAGAUCCUUCUGAGCUCCAGAAAAUAGCCUUGAAAGGUGAAAAAUGGCGCUAUAGUUAUCUUUUGCUAAUUUCUGGUUUUUCUGGAUCCACCCAAUCUGGAGCACCUUUUAUCUUUUCUUAACAAUAAAUUGAGUAAAUUGGAGGUCUCUAAAUUUCGUGGAUGAUCACCGUGUAGACGCGAAAACACUGCUUUAUCUCUUGCUUCGAUGCGAAUAGAGAGAAAAGUAUCGAAAGGUAUGAGAGAUACGGUUUUCUUUGCUUGAUUGCAAACAAGGAAGCAUCAAGAUCCCGUGUUUUUGCCCUCCGCUUCUUCCUAUUUCUUCGUUCAAUGGACUAUCAGUCUGUAGACGUAGAUUUAGAAUACAUUUCUUGUGUAUUAGAUUAUGAGUCACUCGUAGAACAUUUGUCUAUCUUUUGGAUCUUAGGAUAAACAUUCACAUCGAGCAUGUGUAACAUAUUUUAUGUCUAUCUUUUGGAUCAUGACACAGUUUAAACUUCAAGAUGCAUCGUACUAGAGAUACAUAGGUUAGAUGCAAGGUAUUCUUGUUGUUUCCCUGGUCUAGGAUUAUAUCGGUAAAUAUAAACCAGGAAAUCAUUCUAUUCUUGGGAGCAUAAUCAUGCAACUUCUUUCUUUCUGUUAUGAGUCAUUUAAAAGCUAUUUUAGGAUUUGAAAGUAGUUUGCCUAAAUUUUUCUUGCUCUGUUUUUGGUCAUGGUUCUAGGAUAUUGACAUGGGAGGAUGGCUAAUUUGACAAAAAGAAAAAAAAAAAAAGAAGAAGAAGAAAAGAAAUGCAGAUGCUACUAUGGAAUCUACUCAGCCUGAUGAAUGCCUGUGUGUUGUAUCUGGGACCAUUUCUUUCAGUUGGGUCAAGGAUGCUCACGGUGAAACACUGCAAGGAGUCCUAUUGAAGUAGCAGCUGCAAACGUACCAUUUCAUCAAAAUGGACUUGGAGAAGGGUCAUGGAGGAUUCAACAGUGGUGGUUCACAUCAUAAAUUUGUUUUGUACUCUUUCAUCAUAUCUCAGGAACUCACAGUUCCUUAGGCCCAUUGGUGUCUUGUUCAAUUUCUCUAUGUCUAUUAGCACCGCCUCUAUGGGGAAUAUUCUACCAUAUGCCAUGGAAAAUAUGAUGAGUUCCUUAAUCUGAACCAAUCUCAACGUUUGCCUCCUAUUGGGCCUCAUAUUCUACCAUCAUUCAUGAUUCAAGAUGAUGUCCAAUCAACACCAGAUGUUAUGGGCCAAGUAUUUGAUACAUAUACAAGACCACAUGCAAAGGAAAGUGUAGGGAAGGCAAUAUCUGAUAAUGUAUGGAUAGAUCCUACUUAAGAACCUAGUGUGUUGAAUUACUCAAAUAAGAUACUUGAGUUUGAUAUGUCCAAUUUCCCCCUCCUACAGGAAGAUAUAAAUGUAGAUUCACAACUAAAUGCCUUUGAUCAUGGAUUAACUUCUGCACAAUCUAUCAUGUCAGUCUUAUGUGAAAUAUUCACAAUGUGGUGGUUAUGAUCAUUGUAAUAUCAAAAAUAUGACUGAGGGAUUUGGAAAGGAGUUUGCUGGUAAGGUUGCAUGUGUACCAAAUGACACAGUUUUGAACUUUACCAUCUGAGCUGCGCAAAGUCCUUGGAAUGGAUUCUGUGAGAGGGUAUGAUAGCUGUAUAUCAAGCACCGCUCUAUCAAAAGCCGACGAGUUUACCAUGUUCCAAACAGAAGGAUCUGAAGUUCAUGAACCUUUGGUUAAUGCCUCGUUCAUGGCAGAAGGUGAUGCAGAGCAUCUGUUGGAUGCAGUGAUAGGCAAUGUAUAUCAUGCUUCAAGUGAUGAUGCAUGUGAGUUAUCCAGAUGUUUAAGCUCGUGUAGCAACCCUGCAGGAAAAUCUGUGGUCAUGUAAGCAGAAGCGAAGGAGGGGCCUUGGACUCAGUGAGUUGUCAAAAGCCACGCAUCUGUCUCCAAAAAUGAGUGUUUCACUUCUAUUUCUGAUUCUUCAUCCAAGAGCAUUUGUAGGUCCCUCAAUGACAAAAAGUAAGGCACCAUGGUUUACAGGCAUCGUGGCUCAAAAUCCAAUCCAGACUGAAAAAAAAGAAGGGGCAAAAGUAACAAAACUCACAGAUCAAAGCCAAGGGACAGACAGUAGCAAAACUCUAACGGAUCAUAUGUAAGUUGCAUUUAUCCCACUUCCUCCACAAUUCCAUGACCAAAUUAAUUGGAUUAGAGAUUUUUGUUGUAAUCCUUGGGAUAUUAUGACAUAAACAUAUCUGCACAUGUACUUAGAUUAUCAUCUUGUGAUGCGUUGUUGGAUGGAACUGCGAAGCACAUUUUAUUUCUGCGAAGCAUUUCCAGUCAAGGUGAAAAAUUGAAGAUGCCAUGCGAGGAAGAUGUACUUUCUGACAAAAGGCCCAUCUCAUCUGAAGCACGGAGCUAAACAUUCUAAAAGGAGUUUCGGACGGUCGAUCAAACAAGCUUCGGGCUCAUUUCAUUGUUAAGGUCGAAGAUAACACCAAUUCACCAUUCUAGAUUGAAGCAAGAAUAACAUGAAACUUGCUUUUUCAGGCUUCCAGGGCCUUUAAUCGAAUGCAAAUUCUCUGGCCGUUCAUGCAGCUGCUGCAACAAGAUUGCACAUCCAUUCCAAGCAAAAUCCGAUGAUUUGUCUGAUAAUGGUUGAUUGUCGAUCAAUCUUACCACAUCUAUCAGUAUGAACAUUUUGUUGAAGAGAUUUCAAGGUGUCAAGCUGUAAAAUUAACUCUUAUGCAGGAUUGCCUG
This is a non-coding RNA of Elaeis guineensis (African oil palm), 3157 nucleotides long. NCBI's taxonomy places the organism in Eukaryota, Viridiplantae, Streptophyta, Magnoliopsida, Arecales, Arecaceae. The record is from RefSeq and is a predicted model, not a curated record.